AGAGGGUGCGAGCGUUAAUCGGAAUUACUGGGCGUAAAGGGCGCGUAGGUGGAUAUAUAAGUUGGCUGUGAAAGACCUGGGGCUUAACCUAGGGGAGUCAGCCGAUACUGUAUAGCUAGAGGACAGGAGAGGGUAGAAGAAUUUCCGGAGUAGCGGUGAAAUGCGUAGAUAUCGGAAGGAAUACCAGUGGCGAAGGCGACUACCUGGCCUGUAACUGACACUGAGGCGCGAAAGCGUGGGUAGCGAACAGGAUUAGAUACCCUGGUAGUCCACGCUGUAAACGAUGACAACUAGCUGUUUGAGAUGUAAAUUUUGAGUGGCGUAGCUAACGCGCUAAGUUGUCCGCCUGGGGAGUACGGCCGCAAGGCUA
Molecule: ribosomal RNA, 370 nt
Filed under: uncultured organism
Description: partial 16S ribosomal RNA
Rfam family: Bacterial small subunit ribosomal RNA
Source: RNAcentral